This 1296-nucleotide long non-coding RNA is filed under the name Sander lucioperca (pikeperch). Its description in RNAcentral is "lncRNA (ENSSLUG00000017827.1)". The record is from RNAcentral. Lineage: Eukaryota; Metazoa; Chordata; Actinopteri; Perciformes; Percidae.
CUGAGAACAUCCAUAGAUAACAGAGAGAAGACUGAGGGAGAGGCACAAGCGUCUCCAUACAAAACCAAGUCUAAUGUUGUUUUGAAAUCAUUAAAAGUGACAGACAAGAGUUUUGUCAGUCAGAGUCCAGACAGGUCACAGCUGAGGAGUCUUGGUAGUACUGGGGAUGUCCAGUCAACAUGUCACCAAUCCCAAGUCAAGGCUAAUACAGAGCAUCAAGAAAGACCCCUCAGUGCUAGUAAAUCCCAAACUCCAAGAUCAAAAGACCAGGAUGACGAAGUCAGGAGGAGUCCAUUAAAGACCUUCCAUCCAAGGGUCCUACCUAGAGAAUCAUCCAGUCCUAAGAGAUCCAAGCAGGAAAGCUCUCCCUUGAAAACCUUUUCAAUAGACAUCAACCCCCAAACUAAGGUGGUUGAAGAACAAGAAGUGAAGCCGACACCAGUACCAAGACAGAAGAAGAGUCCCUCACACGAAACUAUGCAGACAGACACUAACCCUAGCACAGACAUCACCUCUCGUCCUCUCCCUUUACUUUCAGAGGACAGAGCGGCUUAUUUUGGCAAUGAGAAUACACAACAAAGUAGUUCAAGCUCCUUUACUUCAACACAAUCCCAAAAAGCUUCAGAAGAGAAGUUGGGGACCUUUACAAGCCUUGCCAGAUCUCUCAUCCCUCAGGAUUAUCAGCACUACCUUGGGCCACAGGAGAAGGCCCAUGUCCCUCCUUUUCACCAAGACAGAGCUGUUGCGGCAGAAACGGAAGUGGAACACACACCACAAAAUGCCCUCAGAGACUUUGUGGGAAACCAGAGAGACAGUUCCACUGUGGGGAAUCCUCCCGGAGUCACUUCUUCGAUUGUGCAAAAUAAAGACGGCUACUCCAGCCAAAACACAACAACCAGGGCCUGGUCUCUGUCUCGGGCAAGUUCAGGCAGUCAUGAUGACAGUUCUACGCCCAUCAUUCCAGCCCUUGAACGAUUAUCUUCAAGGAACAUGUCCUCAUCCAAAAGUCUGGAAAACCUCACCUCACAAACAAUUUCUUUGCUUCCACCAUCAGCCUCAACUCUCCCCAACUCACAGCAGAUGAAAAGCAGUGUGUCAGUGACUGUUCUUAAGCAGGACGAGACAGACAGUGACGGCACUUUUGAGACCAUCUUGGGCUGGAGAAGAAACACGGGCAGCUCCUCAUCUAACUUAAGUCUCUCCUCAGGAAUGGCCUCCAUGUCGUCUGUAUGUCGACAUGCAGCUCACUAGAUUAUAUAUGUUUCUGAUAAAAAUACAAUGUGCAUAUAGCUUGUU